GGGGGCGAAAGGACUCGACGGGGGUUAUGAGGCUCAGGUAGCAUGCCGUGGUUCCGUCACCACGCAAAAAGGCGGAAACACUUAUAAACGCCAACAACGAACUGGCACUCGCUGCGUAAUUAACGCAGCACACUACCUCGGGAUUGCCUGUGUUUUGAGGAUAGUGUCGGAUAGCAGGCUGGCCUUAAGGGAUUUCUCCUGACCUUAAGGUAAGAACAAGGGAGAUAGGGUAAUGGAAAGCCCGUCUGCUGGCGGUUCAUUAUCCGAAAAUAAAAAGCAGAAUACGCAUGUAGAAGCCUGUGAGUAGUGCUUUCGGACGCGGGUUCAAUUCCCGCCGCCUCCACCA
This 346-nucleotide small RNA is filed under the name Nitrospirota bacterium. Its description in RNAcentral is "transfer-messenger RNA". It matches the Rfam family "transfer-messenger RNA". From Rfam's summary of the family: Bacterial tmRNA, also known as 10Sa RNA or SsrA, is named for its dual tRNA and mRNA-like properties. Its role is to liberate the mRNA from a stalled ribosome. To accomplish this part of the tmRNA is used as a reading frame that ends in a translation stop signal. Lineage: Bacteria; Pseudomonadati; Nitrospirota. The record is from RNAcentral.